GGGUCAGUAGGUUGGUCGUGCCACCGGUACGUACUGGUCUCACUGAUUCCUCCUUCCUGAAGAACCGUAAUGCCAUUAAUAUGGUGUUGCGGGGAAACAGGACUGUCACUUUGAAAAAAUUAGAGUGUUUAAAGCAGGCUAACGCUUGAAUACAUUAGCAUGGAAUAAUGAAAUAGGACGAUCGAUCCUAUUUUGUUGGUUUCUAGGAUUGACGUA
Molecule: ribosomal RNA, 216 nt
Filed under: Glomeromycotina sp.
Lineage: Eukaryota; Fungi; Glomeromycota
Description: partial small subunit ribosomal RNA
Rfam family: Eukaryotic small subunit ribosomal RNA (bases 40-216)
Source: RNAcentral